Molecule: ribosomal RNA, 133 nt
Filed under: uncultured bacterium
Lineage: Bacteria
Description: partial 16S ribosomal RNA
Source: RNAcentral
AUUGUUAACGUCAAUGCACAUGAGUAUUAAUCAUGCACCCUUCUUCACAAUUGAAAGUGCUUUACAACCCGCAGGCCUUCUUCACACACGCGGCAUUGCUGGAUCAGGGUUGCCCCCGUUGUCCAAUAUUCCC